RNAcentral lists this ribosomal RNA (584 nucleotides) under uncultured prokaryote. RNAcentral describes it as "partial 16S ribosomal RNA". It matches the Rfam family "Archaeal small subunit ribosomal RNA", at positions 85 to 653 of the family's 1478-position model. The record is from RNAcentral.
ACGGCUCAGUAACACGUGCCCAACCUACCCUCGGGAGGGGGACACCCCCGGGAAACUGGGGCCAAUCCCCCAUAGGGGAAGGGCGCUGGAAGGCCCCCUCCCCGAAAGGACGGCGGCCGAUCCGCCGCCGCCCGCCCGAGGAUGGGGGCACGGCCCAUCAGGUAGUUGGCGGGCUAAAGGCCCGCCAAGCCGAAGACGGGUAGGGGCGGUGAGAGCCGCGAGCCCCGAGAUCGGCACUGAGACAAGGGCCGAGGCCCUACGGGGUGCAGCAGGCGCGAAUACUCCGCAAUGCGGGCAACCGCGACGGGGCUACCCCGAGUGCCGGGCGAAGAGCCCGGCUUUUGCCCGGUCUAAAAAGCCGGGAGAAUAAGCGGGGGGCAAGUCUGGUGUCAGCCGCCGCGGUAAUACCAGCUCCGCGAGUGGUCGGGGUGUUUACUGGGCUUAAAGCGCCCGUAGCCGGCCCGGCAAGUCGCUCCUGAAAUCCCAGGGCUCAACCCUGGGGCGGGGGGCGAUACUGCCGGGCUAGGGGGCGGAAGAGGCCGCCGGUACUCCGGGGGUAGGGGCGAAAUCCGUUAAUCCCCGGA